RNAcentral lists this ribosomal RNA (1341 nucleotides) under metagenome. RNAcentral describes it as "bacterial LSU rRNA". It matches the Rfam family "Bacterial large subunit ribosomal RNA", at positions 1366 to 2687 of the family's 2925-position model. The record is from RNAcentral.
AGUACCACCAUGUUCGCGUCCGUCCCAAUACUCUGUUGCUAAGGGGCUGUGUUGACUUCGGUCAACGCGAACCGACCCACAUUGUUGCGGGAAGCUGUAGGGGGACGCAGGAAGGUAGAUGAACCCGGUGAAUGGUAGAACCGGGGUAAGCGUGUAGGAGGAGGACCAGGUAAAUCCGGGCCUCAUAAACUCUGAGACGUGAUACCGAGCCGCUUCAGGCGAAGUCAUUGAUCCUAUGCUGCCUAGAAAAGCCCAGCAGCGAGUUGACAUGGUGCCCGUACCCCAAACCAACACAGGUGGACAGGUAGAGCAUACCAAGGCGAGUGGGAUAACUAUGGUUAAGGAACUCGGCAAAUUGCCUCCGUAACUUCGGGAGAAGGAGGACCCCAGUAGCGUGAUGAGACUUGCUCUCUGAGCGUGAAGGGGUGGCACAAAAUUGAGGGAAGCGACUGUUUACCAAAAACACAGCAGCGUGCUAAGCCGUAAGGCGCUGUAUACGCUGUGACUCCUGCCCGGUGCUGGAAGGUUACGGGGAUGGGUUAGUCCUUCGGGACGAAGCUCUGAACCUAAGCCCCAGUAAACGGCGGCCGUAACUAUAACGGUCCUAAGGUAGCGAAAUUCCUUGUCGGGUAAGUUCCGACCUGCACGAAUGGAGUAACGACUUCCCUACUGUCUCAACCAUAGACCCAGCGAAAUUGAAGUACGAGUAAAGAUGCUCGUUAGCUGCAGAAGGACGGAAAGACCCCGUGGACCUUUACUAUAACUUGAUGUUGUGUUUUGUCAUAUGUUGUGUAGGAUAGGUGGGAGACUUGGAAGCAUGGACGCUAGUCUGUGUGGAGUCAUCGUUGAAAUACCACCCUGCAUAUGGUGAGGCUCUAACCUAGACCCGUUAUCCGGGUUGGGGACAGCGUCAGGCGGGUAGUUUAACUGGGGCGGUUGCCCCCUAAAGAGUAACGGAGGCGCCCAAAGGUUCCCUCAGCCUGGUUGGCAAUCAGGCGUUGAGUGCAGUGGCAAAAGGGAGCUUGACUGCGAGACCUACAAGUCGAGCAGGAGCGAAAGCUGUGCAUAGUGAUCCGGCGGUUGCGUGUGGAAGCGCCGUCGCUCAACGGAUAAAGGGUACCCCGGGGAUAACAGGCUAAUCUUGCCCAAGCGUCCAUAGCGACGGCAAGGUUUGGCACCUCGAUGUCGGCUCAUCGCAUCCUGGGGCUGAAGCAGGUCCCAAGGGUUGGGCUGUUCGCCCAUUAAAGCGGUACGCGAGCUGGGUUCAGAACGUCGUGAGACAGUUCGGUCCCUAUCCUCUGCAGCCGGAGGUGAAUUGAGGAAAGCUGUCCCUAGUACGUG